RNAcentral lists this small nuclear RNA (21 nucleotides) under Arabidopsis thaliana (thale cress). RNAcentral's name for it is "snRNA_10128". Lineage: Eukaryota; Viridiplantae; Streptophyta; Magnoliopsida; Brassicales; Brassicaceae. The record is from RNAcentral.
UAUCCCGCGGUACACCGCCGU